This 701-nucleotide long non-coding RNA is filed under the name Homo sapiens (human). Its description in RNAcentral is "non-protein coding VPS13A-AS1:4". The record is from RNAcentral. Lineage: Eukaryota; Metazoa; Chordata; Mammalia; Primates; Hominidae.
AAGGCGUCGUCUCGCCUCCUCGCCCCGCGCGGCUAAAGCCGGACCGUGCGGGGCCAGGGGUAGAGAACGGCCCCUCGCCGGGACUUGAACGCCAGACCCACGGAGCCCACGGCAAGUCCGCUCCGCUCGGAAAAUAUAGACCUUUUCAUCCCGCACUCAUGACCCUCUCCUUUCCCCCAAAAUAUAAACAACUCGAGGGCGGAGGCCAGGGAACUGCCGCCCGGCUUUACGUAACUUGACCCACAGGCGGGCGGCGGCAGGUGGCUGCACCCGGCGAGCAAGGUGCUCGAAGCCCCGAGAACGCAGGACGCCGCUCGGGCAGCGAGACGGCCGGGAAGCACGAGAGGCCGGGGAGCGGCGGCGGCGGCCUCCUUACCUUUCCAGAUGCCCAGAGAGAGCUGGGACGUGUCCAAGUCCACCACAUAGUCCCCCAAGAACCGGUUCAACACGUCCACGACCACCGACUCGAAAACCAUGUUCCUCAGCCGUGGUGGGCACGGCAGCCGGCCCGUGCGCUCCUCCUCCCGCCGCCUUCCCCACGCCCCUCCCUCGAGAGUAACACGCUUCCCUGCAGAUAAGAGUUGGAGUCAGCCGGUCUGGAAACUGCUGAACACCCUCCAAGAAAUACUGGGAGUGCUGGACCCUUGACCCCUAUGCCUCCACCGAACCACUGACCUAAAAUAAAUUACAAUUACAGAUCU